This 253-nucleotide ribosomal RNA is filed under the name uncultured bacterium. Its description in RNAcentral is "partial 16S ribosomal RNA". It matches the Rfam family "Bacterial small subunit ribosomal RNA", at positions 524 to 776 of the family's 1533-position model. The record is from RNAcentral.
UACGUAUGGUGCAAGCGUUAUCCGGAUUUACUGGGUGUAAAGGGAGCGCAGGCGGCACGGCAAGCCUGAUGUGAAAGCCCGCGGCCCAACCGCGGGACUGCAUUGGGAACUACCGGGCUGGAGUGCCGGAGAGGUAGGCGGAAUUCCUAGUGUAGCGGUGAAAUGCGUAGAUAUUAGGAGGAACACCAGUGGCGAAGGCGGCCUGCUGGACGAUGACUGACGUUGAGGCUCGAAAGCGUGGGGAGCAAACAGG